RNAcentral lists this ribosomal RNA (253 nucleotides) under uncultured bacterium. RNAcentral describes it as "partial 16S ribosomal RNA". It matches the Rfam family "Bacterial small subunit ribosomal RNA", at positions 524 to 776 of the family's 1533-position model. The record is from RNAcentral.
UACGGAGGGUGCAAGCGUUGUCCGGAAUUAUUGGGUUUAAAGGGUGCGUAGGCGGCUCGAUAAGUCAGAGGUGAAAAGCAAUAGCUUAACUAUUGUCGUGCCUUUGAUACUGUUGAGCUUGAGUAUACUAUAGGUAGGCGGAAUUGAUAGUGUAGCGGUGAAAUGCAUAGAUAUUAUCAAGAACACCGAUAGCGAAGGCAGCUUACUGGAGUAUAACUGACGCUGAGGCACGAAAGCAUGGGGAGCGAACAGG